Molecule: long non-coding RNA, 6582 nt
Organism: Camelus dromedarius (Arabian camel)
Lineage: Eukaryota; Metazoa; Chordata; Mammalia; Artiodactyla; Camelidae
Exons: 4
Source: RefSeq, a predicted model, not a curated record
UGAGGACAACGGGACUCUCUUUCAGAAGGGUUUGUUUUUAGCUAAUGCAUUAAUUGAUUCCAAAAAAGAGUCCAAAUGGAACACUCUGCUUUCAUCUGCUUGGAGUAACCUAAUAAAAUAAUGUUGUUUGUUUUUAGAUUCCCGGCUGUUCAGGGGGUUUUGCUCAAGGCAAAACCACAGUCCCCUCGAAUAACUUCAGAAGGAGAGUUAAGAAGACACACUAAUUGUGCCCGUCUGAGGUUUGCUGCUUCCAGGGCCCAGACACACCCCCUGCACGCUGGUCUGGCCACCAGCGCUCCAGUGCCACCACUGUCCGUUGGGCAGGACUCCUGCCCCUUUGGAGAAUGGUUGAUUUUGCUGAGGAGCAGUUUGGGAGGUUUAAAAAUGGACUCCAGCUCUUGGAACAGCCUCGUGCAAGCAUGCUGUGUGUGCUAGAUGUCUGUGCUGUGGGACGGGGGAAGGGAAAACGGCUUAAUGAACUAAGACUGAUUAGAACACUUCCUCUCAUCACCCCCUCCUCCACCCUUUACUUAGACCAGCUCUUUCUCUGGUGUCUUGUUGGGCUGCUUUCAAGUGGGAGGGGGAAAGGAACCCCCUGCCGCCCGCCCUGGAGCUCCUUGGCCAGUGAGAACUCUUUAAAUGUGGGGCAUUACAUGCCGGGCAUGAUCUCAUUAAGUCCCUCCCUCACCCUUCAGGUAGCUGCCGUCUUCCCUGCGGCACAAGUGAGGGGGAACCCAGUCAGGUUAAAUAUCUUGCUCAUCACGGUCUCUCAGAGCAGAUAAGCAUGUUGCUGUUAGAAUCCAGGUCUGGUGGCGGCCCACGCUCUCUUCUUUCCCGACAAGGAUUUCUUAACAAAACUCAGUACAGAAAGUUCUUCGGGUGGUCUAAGCCUGGGAUUUCUGAGUGUCCCCCCACCAUUCUCAGUAGCAGGCGUAUCAUUCCUAGCUGGGAAUGGAAGGGAAGGGUGAUCUCGGAUUAUAUACCAUAGUAAGUGCAUCUGCUCUCUCAAUUCCAGAGCCCUGAGGACCAGGUAAAUCCUGACAAGCCUUUUGAGGUUCAUCUUAAAACUAUUUUACAACAUAUUAAAGUCAGUAAAUAGAGGAUUAAGGUAAACUUUUGCAUUUGCCCCACGGGUUUAAAAUUGGAAGGUAAUGUGGAAAAAGCAGAGAUAAAUUUACAAACUGCUACAGUGCAAUGCGAUAUGACGCAAACUGAAUUGGACCAUCUUAAAAAUCUCUGCUAUAAUUAGAAAAUGCCGUUCUUCAACCAAAGUUGGAAAAAAUGGAAAACCAAGUUAAAAGUAAGUAUCUAUGGGUACUUGGCCUCAAAGUGUGUCUGGAGGGAAUGGAGACAGUUUACAGAAUGUGGGAUUUGCUGGAAUUACUUGUGGACAUAAAAUCUCCAUCACCACUGAUGGUGGAAAAGUCUUACUCUAGUCCCAGCAAGUUACCUGCUAUCCCGAAAGUUCAAGGUGGGUGUCUACCACUGCAUUGUACUGCCUCCUUGCCCAUUCUUACAUAAAUGAAAGCAAAUUACUGACUCACCCACACCAAAAAUGUACAGCAUAGGCAAAAGGGAAACAAAAUACGUAUUUAUACAUAUGUCUGUGUGUGUAUAUACACACAUGUAUGUAUGUAUGUAUUAAAAUAUGUUCUCAUUCCUUUUUCAAAAGGGUGAUAUAUUUCAGUGUGAAUUUCUGUUUUGAAGCAGAAUGUAACUAAGUUUUAAAUACAGAGAUACACUUUAUCAAUUUGAGAAUUUAUGGAGAAUUACCGACCCAUGUAAGGAGCUGCUUUUUAUGAUGACCUCUUCAUUUGGGCCAGCUCCAGUGUUAUGAAAGGGUUACACUCUGUUCGAGUAAAACCAGAAAAAAAGAAAAAUUGGGGAUGAGGGAAACUGAAACAAGCAUUCUUUUUUUCUACUGAAGACAGUAGUGAAGUGAUUGCCGAUGUCUGUUGGACAUGGGAAGCAGAGAUUUCUGCACACUUUGUCUCAGCCUCUGUCCUGCCUCCCUCUGCAGUGUCUGCACGACCUUCUGAACUAAAGAAGCAGUUCACAAUCGACCUGGAACUUCAAGUUACCGGUGACCACGACUAAUAAAAAUCUCACUACUGGAUAUGCCAAAAGACAGACUGGCUGAAGAGAAAUGGCACUAAAUGGAAAGCUCAGAUCUCUAGAAAGAAAUGAAGAGGACGAGAAAAGAAAAAUGUGAAGUGACAACUGCAACAUUUCCUGGUAUGCUGCUGUGUGUCAAGCCAGGACCAGGUAGCACACAGACGGACAGGGAGCUAAAUGAUUUGCACAAGACCACACAACUUACCACACGGUAGGAUGGCGCCGUUGGGAGCCUUACCCCUUUAGGCAAUGCCAGCAUACCUUGGCAGAAGGACAUGUGUUUGGAAACACCUGCUAGAAGAUUCUAAAGAUUGUUUUCAAUCUUCUAAGAUUCUUGGAAGAUGAAAGGUCAGAAAUAAGUUGUGGAAAAAUUCAUGAAAAGUAAUCAUUUUCAUCCUCCCCCCCGUUCUCUGAGGCUGGGCCAUGACUCUGCCCCCCUCCCAUCUGCAUGGAGUGGAGGGCGCCUGCACCCUGCCCUUCCACAGCCCAGAAGACGCAUUAGGCUUCUCGUGCACAGUAACUAGCUUUAGAGAAUGGAGCCAGGGUUGACCUUUUUUCCACCUCAGACAUCAGCCAUAGUUUCUUUCACAGCUCUGAAAACUAAUUUGCUAUGCGUCUUUACGAAAUUUGUUUAAACAUUUCAGAUCUUUACUUCCUGCUUUGUGAGAAAGGAAUUUUGUGAUUAUCUCCUAGGAUUGCUGCAAAUAUUAAGACAGACCUCUCCUCAUAUAUAAAGAGCUUGGCACAUUAUAAUGUUUUUUCCUGUAUAUUUCCUUCUUCUUAUUAAUUCCCUUGCCUCUAAAUUUUUUUUUUUUGGUUCCCUUCUCUCUUUUCUUUCUUCCAUUUUCUUCUUUUCGCCUAUAGGAAGCUGCAUAUAUUUUAUCACAUUUGCUUUCUUAAAAACCCACACCAAUCAUUUCCUAGAAAGUCAUACUUUUAAUAGCUAUGUUUCAUGAGCAAGGUGUGGGGAAAGAAUUCUUUCAGAUCACAGUUCUCCUGUCAGUACUUUUUACUGCUAAUUUAAAAAAAUCAAAUUUAAAGUCUAAUUAUUUCUUGUAAAUAUACACAUACAAAUGUAUCUUUUUCAGUUUUCAAAUAUGACCAAUACAGCUUUAUCUAGCUAUUUCCUCUUUGUGGCACUUUCUAUAGUGGCAUUCUACAUUUUUAGGUCAAGAUGUAAGGCCUGGUAACCACUGAAUAUGGUGUUAGAAAAAUCAAAUGACUUUUUAUAACCAGAGUUAAACACACAAAUAUCAUUCAUGUGUCCCUUUUUAUAAGCACAUGGCUAAACAUUUUGAAUAGUCUUCCGUCAAGCCUCCUUCAUUUGUUAGUAAUUUUAAAGGGUUAAGAGUACCUAGCGGCUGAUUUUAAAUAGCCGCAUCAUCUGCAGGAACUACCAGCCCAGUGCUGUUAUUUAUUUUUUAUGGUAAAAAUAUCUGUCUCAGGCACUGCUUAGUAUAAAAGUAGGUUACUUUAAAAAAAAAUCCUGGAUAAUUAAGACAGAAAAGUAUUCUGUAAUUUCACUUUGGCUUCUCAGAUACAUUAAGCAUGGCAAACAAAUUAAAAUGAGCAGGACUCCAGGUUUCAGGAUGAAUAUUCCAUGGAUGUGUGGUGCAUCACCAUCUUUGUAAUCUUUCAAUUAAGUGGAGUCAUUAAAAAAAAAGAAAAGGCUGGGACGAUUAUGUUAACCAUAGAUUCCAAACAGAUACACGACAAUUCAUCUCCCGUCUUGACCUAAAAAUGAAAGUCUUCUCUAAAUAGAUACCUUACAGAUUUUUACCUUUCCACUUUAAUACGUGUUAAUUUUCUUUUUUUUUUUUUUUGUGAUUGUUACUGCCUUUACAGAAAUCGGGAACGCAAAAGUGGGUUUCCCCAGAACAACUGCUAAGCCCGUCUAAGCUCUAAAAGCUUUUUUAAAAGUACAAUUAUUAACGGCACCCCAGUUCAGGAGAUUGCAGACUUAGUGGUGUACAAAUACACAUCUGUGUUCAGAGGAAGCCUGUAUUUUUUAGGACAAUCCCUUUGCCACACACACAGAUGGAAGCAAAGUGGGAGGUAAGCAGCAAGGAAACAGCCGCUGGAACAACCAAGCACACUCGCUUUACAUAAAUACAGCUCCACUGUAUUUAACUCUCGGUAGAGUCUAGCAUCACUGGUAACAAUGGAUGAAACCACGAACCAAAAUUCCAAGCCAGAAUGCAGUAUGCAGAGGGCAUAAAUAUACUACAGUGCUCCACCACAAAAAGAUACACUGUGUGGUAACUUAGUAUUUGCAGCAGUUUUUCCACAAGUCCAGAAAGGAGAAGUUACAUUAGUUUCCUCCUGUAGCAUCUGCUAUUACCACUCUAGGUUACAAUUUCCGUGAAAUUUAGUAGCGUGCUAAACCAUACUAGUCUGAUGAUAUCUAUUUUUUGGUUAAGAAAGAAAGAGUUUCUUUUAUCUGAAAAUGCCAUCUAAGGGAACCCUCAUCCACUCAUGAAGCUUGUGAUCUCUCUGGUAAAGUUCUCUUCCUAGUAUCUUUAAAUGAGUGGCUGACUUUUAUAGCAUGUCUGUUAGAACAAUACUUUUAAAAAAUCCAUUAUCACUCAAUUAAGGAAAGAAAGGUAGGACAUAAAAGUAAACAGUAACAAAUAUGGGUCUGUAUCAGUAAGCCAGCAAACGCAGAAGGAAAUAAUUCUAAACACUAUUCUUUAAAAAAUGAACUUUUAAAACUAGUCUUCAUGUUAAAGGACACAUGACAGAAUUCUGAAGUUUUUACCUGUGGAGGAGGAAAAAAUAUCCCACAGCUGAAAAGAAAGUUAAUUCUAAGGCCUAACAAUGACCUUGUUCAUGUUCACAUUUGUAUUAAAAUCUUACCCUCCUUUCUUCAGAAAUGUUUUAAGCAUUAUUUUUUCUAUUAUUUGAAACAAUUUAUUUCUCUAUUCAAAAGAUGGGAAAAAAUGCUACAAACAUUUGCUGAUGGGCAAUAACGGAAAAUAAACUUUUCAAACGUCAUUACCACUCUUUUUCCGUAACACAAAAGAUCAAGAAAAUCACAGGGAAACGAAAAAGCGUGUGCUACUCAAACUGAUCUGUCAUGUUAGCUGACUAAACAUAUAGCCCUUCUCUUUCUGGUAUUUUUAACUAUAGAUUUUCUAGUAAAUUCCUAUCAAGCACCACAUCUUAGCAGUAUUGACAAAAAGGCGGCUUAUUGCUAAACACCUUAAAAACAUUUACCAAGGUAAUAAAAGAAAUGUUCAUGAUUUACCAUAUCUAUAGUGUCCAAAAAAAGCACAAUGGGAAGGAAGCAUUUUUCCAGUGGUUUGACAACUAUUUGAGUCAACUGUUAGGCUUUCAUGACACUAGUGGCCAAUUGCUCACUUUUAAAAGCACAGGAGGGGAGAGCGACUGGGAUAGAGAUUGGGGAGGAAGGACAGGCUCUUUUCUAAAUAUAUUUUCCACAUAUCUGUUUCCGUGCAAAUAAAGGUACAUGGAUUAUGUCUUCCUGUCCAUCAAUCUGCAGCCAACUUGGAGGCUGCUCUCUGAACAAUUCACACAGUAAAGCUUUUCUUUCACAUGUGAAACAUCCGUUCACCAAAGUGUGCACUGAGUGCCUGGAAUGUGCCAGGCACUGUGCUCGGCCAGGUUAUCCGGUCCAAACAUACAACUGGCAAGCAGCUACUCUGUGUGUUUCUGUGGACGUGGCACUCGAGAUCAAAAAACUACUGAGGAAUGUGAUUAACCAAACAAGGGCUGCCAAACUGCUUUUUCCCCCUAAAUCAAAGGCAUGACUAGUUUUUAGGGUACUAGAAGAUGUUCACUUUUUACCCAAGGAUCCCUAAUGCUAAGACAAAAGAUUUUAUCUAAAUGUUGGAAAGUAUUGGCUGGCCAUAAGGAUAAAGAUCUUAAGGAAUGGACCACUAAUCGGUUUUACCUGCCAGCCUAAAAAGAGCACAGAAUUUCUUCUACAAUGUUAAGCCUUGAUGAUAAGUCUCUAAAUGAUAAAUAAUUCUUGUUUUAAAAUGGGAGAGAUGAAGCAAAAAUAUACAGAUGGGACCUAAUUUAACCUAUAAGCUUUUGCAAAGGAAACCAUAAGCAAAACAAAAAGACAACCUACAGAUUGGGAGAAAAUAUUUGCAAAAGAUGAGACUGACAGGGGCUUAAUUUCCAGAAUAUACAAACAGCUCAUACAACUUUAAAAACCCAAUCCAAAGAUGGGCAAAGGACCUAAACAAGCAAUUCUCCAAUGAAGACUUACCAUUGAUCAAUAGGCACAGGAAACAAUGCUCAAUAUCGCUAAUUAUCAGAGAAAUGCAAGUCAAAACUACAACCUCACACCAGUCAGAAUGGCCAUCAUUCGGAAGUCCACAAACCAUAAAUGCUGGAGAAGGUAUGGACAAAAGGAAACCCCCCUGCACUCUUGGUGGGAAUGUAGUUUGGUGCAGCCAUUAUGGAAAACAGUAUGGAGACUCCUCAGAAGACUAAAAA